Molecule: long non-coding RNA, 288 nt
Organism: Spinacia oleracea (spinach)
Lineage: Eukaryota; Viridiplantae; Streptophyta; Magnoliopsida; Caryophyllales; Amaranthaceae
Exons: 2
Source: RefSeq, a predicted model, not a curated record
AGGCGGAGAAUUUUCUUUAGGCGAUAUUUGAAAGUGUUAAAGUGGCCUAUUAGUUGUUUAUACAAGUCUCUAAGGAUCAAUAAGCAUUGUCCAUCUGCAGGUUUGAAGAUGUUGCAUCAUUGGGAUCGGGAAUAGAGAGCUUGUAUUUAGUUUUGAUUUGCUAAGUUGACUUGGGUUUGUUUAAUUGGACUUUAAACUUGUCGUACUAUUUACAUUUCCUUAUUUUCGUUGGUUGAUUUUUGGGACUAAACCUGUAAUCGAUUAUUUAUAAACCUAAAGUUAGUUUUA